Molecule: ribosomal RNA, 154 nt
Filed under: Lactarius subdulcis
Lineage: Eukaryota; Fungi; Basidiomycota; Agaricomycetes; Russulales; Russulaceae
Description: partial 25S ribosomal RNA
Rfam family: Eukaryotic large subunit ribosomal RNA
Source: RNAcentral
CCUUGACCUCAAAUCGGGUGAGACUACCCGCUGAACUUAAGCAUAUCAAUAAGCGGAGGAAAAGAACUAACAAGGAUUCCCCUAGUAACUGCGAGUGAAGCGGGAAAAGCUCAAUUUAAAUCUGGCGGUCUUUGGCUGUCCGAGUUGUAAUUUA